RNAcentral lists this long non-coding RNA (201 nucleotides) under Columba livia (rock pigeon). RNAcentral describes it as "partial uncharacterized LOC102084961". The record is from RNAcentral. Lineage: Eukaryota; Metazoa; Chordata; Aves; Columbiformes; Columbidae.
AGUUUAUGCACCAGAUAGUGCUGGAAGAUACGUGCUAUCUUAUGGGGGAUUAAUCAAGGAGGUAAACCAUUUGAAAUGCAGAUGACAUAGCUUUCACUACCAUACUCUGCUGUAAAAGAAUCAGCCCUAAGUAGUGGAAGCCCAUGUGCAGGCUGCUGCCUUGACUGAUACAUUGAGGAAUGAACCACAGACCUUGGGGGA